GACGAACGCUGGCGGCGUGCUUAACACAUGCAAGUCGAGCGGUAAGGCCCUUUCGGGGGUACACGAGCGGCGAACGGGUGAGUAACACGUGGGUGACCUGCCCUCAGCUCUGGGAUAAGCCUGGGAACCCGGGUCUAAUACUGGAUAUGACUCCAUGACGCAUGUUGUGGGGUGGAAAGCCUUGUGCGGCUGAGGAUGGGCCCGCGGCCUAUCAGCUUGUUGGUGGGGUGAGGCCUACCAAGGCGACGACGGGUAGCCGGCCUGAGAGGGCGACCGGCCACACUGGGACUGAGACACGGCCCAGACUCCUACGGGAGGCAGCAGUGGGGAAUCUUGCGCAAUGGGCGAAAGCCUGACGCAGCGACGCCGCGUGAGGGAUGACGGCCUCGGU
This 391-nucleotide ribosomal RNA is filed under the name uncultured bacterium. RNAcentral describes it as "bacterial SSU rRNA". It matches the Rfam family "Bacterial small subunit ribosomal RNA", at positions 28 to 423 of the family's 1533-position model. The record is from RNAcentral.